UCUAAUGUGGCAGAAUAGUGCCUUGGAUUUAAGCUCCAAUCAUAAAGAUUGCCUUUCUUUAGAA
This 64-nucleotide transfer RNA is filed under the name Apoderinae sp. 2 AV-2018. RNAcentral's name for it is "tRNA-Leu". Lineage: Eukaryota; Metazoa; Arthropoda; Insecta; Coleoptera; Attelabidae. The record is from RNAcentral.